GGAGAGGUGGCAGAGUGGUCGAAUGCGCCGGACUCGAAAUCCGGUGUAGCGUUAUGCGUUACCGUGGGUUCGAAUCCCACCCUCUCCGCCA
RNAcentral lists this transfer RNA (91 nucleotides) under Piscinibacter sp. RNAcentral describes it as "tRNA-Ser". It matches the Rfam family "tRNA". From Rfam's summary of the family: Transfer RNA (tRNA) molecules are approximately 80 nucleotides in length. Their secondary structure includes four short double-helical elements and three loops (D, anti-codon, and T loops). RNAcentral also lists the same sequence under 1 other name. The record is from RNAcentral. Lineage: Bacteria; Pseudomonadati; Pseudomonadota; Betaproteobacteria; Burkholderiales; Sphaerotilaceae.